UUGAAAAACUUUUUUAAAAAAGUGGUUGACUUGAGUGAGUAAACUGCGUAGUAUAGUACGAGUUGUCAGUCAUAAAAACAGUUUAAACCGCACAGCGAUUUAAAAAAAGAUGUUGACAACGAGUUGCCAAUUUGAUAUUCUUAGUAAGUUGUCGCUUGGCGACAAAGUGGUCCUUUGAAAACUGAACAAAGUUUCGUUUAAAUGUGCAGGGUCCUUGGUACUUCGGUACCGAGGCAAGAAGUAACAUUUGCGAAGUCAAUUCGCUAGAACAACAAAUCGAGCUAUUCGAACAGCUCAUAUUUAUAUGAGAGUUUGAUCCUGGCUCAGGAUGAACGCUGGCGGCGUGCCUAAUACAUGCAAGUCGAACGAGUUCUCGUUGAUGAUCGGUGCUUGCACCGAGAUUCAACAUGGAACGAGUGGCGGACGGGUGAGUAACACGUGGGUAACCUGCCCUUAAGUGGGGGAUAACAUUUGGAAACAGAUGCUAAUACCGCAUAGAUCCAAGAACCGCAUGGUUCUUGGCUGAAAGAUGGCGUAAGCUAUCGCUUUUGGAUGGACCCGCGGCGUAUUAGCUAGUU
Molecule: ribosomal RNA, 578 nt
Filed under: Lacticaseibacillus casei LC2W
Lineage: Bacteria; Bacillati; Bacillota; Bacilli; Lactobacillales; Lactobacillaceae
Description: Lactobacillus casei LC2W partial 16S ribosomal RNA
Rfam family: Bacterial small subunit ribosomal RNA (bases 301-578)
Source: RNAcentral